UACGGGGGGGGCAAGCGUUGUUCGGAAUUACUGGGCGUAAAGGGUGCGUAGGCGGGUCUUUAAGUCAGGGGUGAAAUCCUGGAGCUCAACUCCAGAACUGCCUUUGAUACUGAAGAUCUUGAGUUCGGGAGAGGUGAGUGGAACUGCGAGUGUAGAGGUGAAAUGCGUAGAUAUCCGAAGGAACAUCAGUGGCGAAAGCGACUUCCUGGACCAGAACUGACGAUCAGGCACGAAAGCGUGGGGAGCAAACAGG
This 253-nucleotide ribosomal RNA is filed under the name uncultured bacterium. RNAcentral describes it as "partial 16S ribosomal RNA". It matches the Rfam family "Bacterial small subunit ribosomal RNA", at positions 524 to 776 of the family's 1533-position model. The record is from RNAcentral.